GACGAACGCUGGCGGCGUGCCUAAUACAUGCAAGUUGAGCGAUGAAGAUUGGUGCUUGCACCAAUUUGAAGAGCAGCGAACGGGUGAGUAACGCGUGGGGAAUCUGCCUUUGAGCGGGGGACAACAUUUGGAAACGAAUGCUAAUACCGCAUAACAACUUUAAACAUAAGUUUUAAGUUUGAAAGAUGCAAUUGCAUCACUCAAAGAUGAUCCCGCGUUGUAUUAGCUAGUUGGUGAGGUAAAGGCUCACCAGGGCGAUGAUACAUAGCCGACCUGAGAGGGUGAUCGGCCACAUUGGGACUGAGACACGGCCCAAACUCCUACGGGAGGCAGCAGUAGGGAAUCUUCGGCAAUAGACGAAAGUCUGACCGAGCAACGCCGCGUGAGUGAAGAAGGUUUUCGGAUCGUAAAACUCUGUUGGUAGAGAAGAACGUUGGUGAGAGUGGAAAGCUCAUCAAGUGACGGUAACUACCCAGAAAGGGACGGCUAACUACGUG
RNAcentral lists this ribosomal RNA (497 nucleotides) under uncultured bacterium. RNAcentral describes it as "partial 16S ribosomal RNA". It matches the Rfam family "Bacterial small subunit ribosomal RNA", at positions 28 to 507 of the family's 1533-position model. The record is from RNAcentral.